RNAcentral lists this ribosomal RNA (484 nucleotides) under uncultured bacterium. RNAcentral's name for it is "partial 16S ribosomal RNA". It matches the Rfam family "Bacterial small subunit ribosomal RNA", at positions 30 to 507 of the family's 1533-position model. The record is from RNAcentral.
AUUGAACGCUGGCGGCAGGCCUAACACAUGCAAGUCGAGCGGAUGAAGGGAGCUUGCUCCUGGAUUCAGCGGCGGACGGGUGAGUAAUGCCUAGGAAUCUGCCUGGUAGUGGGGGAUAACGUCCGGAAACGGGCGCUAAUACCGCAUACGUCCUGAGGGAGAAAGUGGGGGAUCUUCGGACCUCACGCUAUCAGAUGAGCCUAGGUCGGAUUUGCUAGUUGGUGGGGUAAAGGCCUACCAAGGCGACGAUCCGUAACUGGUCUGAGAGGAUGAUCAGUCACACUGGAACUGAGACACGGUCCAGACUCCUACGGGAGGAAGCAGAGGGGAAUAUUGGACAAUGGGCGAAAGCCUGAUACAGCCAUGCCGCGUGUGUGAAGAAGGUCUUCGGAUUGUAAAGCACUUUAAGUUGGGAGGAAGGGCAGUAAGUUAAUACCUAGCUGUUUUGACGUUACCAACAGAAUAAGCACCGGCUAACUUCGUG